RNAcentral lists this long non-coding RNA (287 nucleotides) under Prunus persica (peach). RNAcentral describes it as "long non-coding RNA (PPER_LNC007665)". Lineage: Eukaryota; Viridiplantae; Streptophyta; Magnoliopsida; Rosales; Rosaceae. The record is from RNAcentral.
UGCAUUUUGCGCGACGAACAUGUUUUCGUCGCGCAAACGUUUGUCGCGCAAAUAGUAAAACGUAGUAGUGUGUUAGAUUGGUUUUCUAUUUUAUUUUUAAUUCUCUAACUCUUUAUAUUUGCAGUUUUUAUUCAAGUUUGUUUUGUGUUUCUUUUUGUUUCCUAUUCUACCCUUAUGUUGAAUUAAGGUUUUAAUAACUGAAAUUUUUAAAAAAUAAUAGAAAAUAAAACCAAAAAAAAAAGGAAAAAAAAAAGAAAAAAAGAAAAGAAGCACAUCGUAUCUUUUCC